AAAGUCGUAACAAGGUUUCCGUAGGUGAACCUGCGGAAGGAUCAUUAUUGAGAGGGGGGCCUCGCGCCCCAGGGGCUUCGCGCCCCGCACCUUUCCACCCGUUGUGUAUCUUCCACUGUUGCUUUGGCGGGCCCCAGGGCUCAUCCCCCGGCGCUGGCCCCCCGCGAGGGAGGCUCGCGAGCGCCCGCCAGAGGCCCAUUCCAACCUGUUGUAUCAGUGUAGUCGGAGUUGACGAAUAAUCAAUCAAAACUUUCAACAACGGAUCUCUUGGUUCUG
Molecule: unclassified non-coding RNA, 276 nt
Filed under: Ascomycota sp.
Lineage: Eukaryota; Fungi; Ascomycota
Description: partial contains small subunit ribosomal RNA, internal transcribed spacer 1, and 5.8S ribosomal RNA
Rfam family: Eukaryotic small subunit ribosomal RNA (bases 1-47)
Source: RNAcentral